RNAcentral lists this unclassified non-coding RNA (484 nucleotides) under Hevea brasiliensis (rubber tree). Lineage: Eukaryota; Viridiplantae; Streptophyta; Magnoliopsida; Malpighiales; Euphorbiaceae. The record is from RNAcentral.
UGAAUUUUAUGCCCCUUGGUGUGGACAUUGCAAGAAGCUAGCUCCUAUCUUAGAUGAAGUUGCUACCACGUUCAAAGAUGAUGAUGAUGUGGUAAUUGCAAAGAUGGAUGCUACUGCAAAUGAUGUCUCCUCUGAAUUUGAGGUGCGUGGUUAUCCUACUUUGUAUUUCUCUUCAGCAAGUGGCAAUCUCGUGCAGUAUGACGGUGGUAGGACAGCAGAGGAGAUAAUUAAUUUCAUACAAAAGAGUAUGGGUGUAGUCAACGAAAGCGAGCCUAUAAAAGAUGAGCCUGUAAAAGAUGAGCUGUGAUGGUUAGGAGUAAGCUUGACACCCGUGGAGGGAAGAGAAGCUUGCAUGAGUUUGCUAUGCCGCGGUUAGGGUUAUUUUAGUCGCUAGUCCUCCUGUAUCAAUAAAUGCUGCUAGGGAUGCAGCACCUUGUAAUCCUGUGACUCUGGUUUUUCGGAUUCAACGAAAAUUUAGUUUUGC